This 222-nucleotide long non-coding RNA is filed under the name Lathyrus oleraceus (garden pea). RNAcentral's name for it is "Pisum sativum (pea) long non-coding RNA (PSAT_LNC033601)". The record is from RNAcentral. Lineage: Eukaryota; Viridiplantae; Streptophyta; Magnoliopsida; Fabales; Fabaceae.
GGAAACAACUUUUCAAACUUCACAGCCAGGCGCACGGAUUGAACACGGCCUGGAGAGUGUUCUUCAUCAAGAACAGCAACAAAUUUCCAGAAAAUUGCAGAUGAGCAUUUCUCAACCAAAUGCAACAAAUCAUACAUCAAAAUGACCGGUGCUCAACGUACAUCAUGGAACUAACAAGCAUACGACCUAAUUCUAACUAUAUCAACGGGAUCGAGCGAAAAU